UAACGUUAACAUGUAGCGUUAAGAGAUUAUGCUACAAUUGUACUAUUGGCCGUUACAUUUGCUAGUUAAGACUACAAAUCUCAGUAAACCUCCAUGCAGCUUCCCGGAGUCAAUUCGGUAUAAUUUGGGUAAUUUAGGGCUCGGCUUGUUGUAAAGAUGCCACUCCCGGAACCAUCCUUUGUCCGUAACAACUUCCACAACUCCUUCUCCAAUGGAGAGUGGACGCCAGCCACUUACAGGGGAUUUCUGGGGUGAGAAGAGAAAAGACCGAGCAGCAGACACUGUUUAGGGGACACACUGCUGGUGGACAGAGUUCCAAUGCCCUCGACCUUGAUGCUGACACAAUACUCUCUCCCCCAGCGGAGAGAACUGAAAGACUUUGUCUUAUCCUCCCCCACGUCGUCUUCCAGGUAGAUGAUGUAGGUGAGCCCAUAAGGAAAGAGUUUUUUCAGAAUGGGUUUUUGGUGAACAUAAACUGUCAGAGUGCUGGAAGUAGCCCACAAUGUGAUGGAGGGAGGCUGCAAUACACCUGCAGGAACAAAGAGGUGUAAGAAAACAAUCUUAUAGCGUGCCUAAAUAACUUAACCAGCCUAAAUACAAUGUUUUAACUUUGGUACACUGUUGUACGAACCAAACUGACAAUUAUGCUUACUUUCAUUUGGGAGAAAUUUCUUCCUGGUCCACACAGAGACAUCAUCUCCUGCAACCAGCUGAACUCUGACCUUGUAGGCUGUGCGAUAGUCAUAUACAAGACUGCUAAGGUCACAGUAGGUCUUAUUGAUCCCUGUGCAGCUGGCCACUAUGGCCCAUUCAUCAUUACCUAAGUACCUAAGGACAGAAAACAUAAUAUGAUAAAGGAAUGAGUGAUUGAUA
Long non-coding RNA from Cottoperca gobio, 873 nucleotides. RefSeq lists it as uncharacterized. The record is from RefSeq and is a predicted model, not a curated record. NCBI's taxonomy places the organism in Eukaryota, Metazoa, Chordata, Actinopteri, Perciformes, Bovichtidae. The transcript has 4 exons.